CCUACGGGGGACAGCAGUGGGGGAUAUUGCACAAUGGGGGGAACCCUGAUGCAGCGACGCCGCGUGGGUGAAGGAGUGCUUCGGCAUGUAAAGCCCUAUCGGCAGGGAAGAAGCAAGACGGUACCUGACCAAGAAGCCCCGGCUAAGUACGUGACAGACGCCGCGGUAAUUAGGAGGGGGCGAGCGUUAUCCGGAUUCACUGGGUGUAAAGGGAGCGUAGACGGCCAUGCAAGCCAGGGGUGAAAGCCCGGGGCCCAAACCCGGCACUGCCCUUGAAACUGCAUGGCUGGAGUGCGGGAGGGGCAUGCGGAAUGCCUGGUGUAGCGGUGAAAUGCGUAGAUAUCAGGAGGAACACCGACGGCGAAGGCAGCCUGCUGGACCGCGACUGACGUUGAGGCUCGAAAGCGUGGGGAGCGAACAGGAUUAGAUACCCUUGUAGUC
This 441-nucleotide ribosomal RNA is filed under the name uncultured bacterium. RNAcentral's name for it is "partial 16S ribosomal RNA". It matches the Rfam family "Bacterial small subunit ribosomal RNA", at positions 338 to 795 of the family's 1533-position model. The record is from RNAcentral.